Molecule: transfer RNA, 98 nt
Filed under: Nemania serpens
Lineage: Eukaryota; Fungi; Ascomycota; Sordariomycetes; Xylariales; Xylariaceae
Description: tRNA-Pro
Rfam family: tRNA
About the family: Transfer RNA (tRNA) molecules are approximately 80 nucleotides in length. Their secondary structure includes four short double-helical elements and three loops (D, anti-codon, and T loops).
Source: RNAcentral
GGCUCAGUGGUCUAGUGGUAUGAUUCCUGCUUCGGGUUGUACCCUUCCAUCGUACGUGGGAAUGCAGGAGGCCCCGGGUUCGAAUCCCGGCUGAGCCC